This 30-nucleotide non-coding RNA is filed under the name Rattus norvegicus (Norway rat). The record is from RNAcentral. Lineage: Eukaryota; Metazoa; Chordata; Mammalia; Rodentia; Muridae.
UACCAAGUAGAGGAAACUUAAGCCAUUGAU